GGUAGAGAUUCAACCGGGGCAGACAGUCAGACGAAACCACUUCGACACAAAUUAAGAGAGAGAGGGAGGGAGGGGUCUGACCUUGAUUCAGAUUCGUUAGUAUUUUUUUUUUCUUUUCCGGUUCAAGAAUACGUUUCCGGUACCCGAAAUACAAUGCGACUACAAAUUUCUCCUCCCCUCGUGUCUGACGCGGUCUCUUGUGCCCGAAACUUGUGUAGUUCAGUCCAAGGAGCGCGGACGAGAGUCAGAUGUUCCUGUUAUACACUUUCUCCCUAUUGAUUACAGUGUGCAUGUUAAUGUUCCCUGUCGCCAGUGACAGACAACCCCUGCGUCUCAGCCAGUCAGUCAGUACGCUCGCCUGCCGGCACCCGGAGUCUCCACACUGCAGACGCAAUUUCAUCGCCUUCAGCGUGAGGUCCACACCGCAGACCGUGACAGAGGUUGGAACCGAAGUUGCGUAUGAAUUUCCUACGGCGCCGUGCAUGUCCUCACACAAACCGUUGACGCAGACGGGCGUCAAUCGCGAAUAUGUCCACGCUCCGAUGAACCCACCAGCAGCGCGAGGUUCGAUUCUUUAGCACGUCUGACGUAACAAUACCUCAACGCACCAAGAGUCGAGUGAUUUUUGCAGAGGAAGCCUGGCUGUUAACACAUGACCCACUGACCAGAAAGACAGUUUCUUUGGGUUGCGAGCCCUCUCGUGAGUUUCUGCAGGAUUUAAUUCGGCGUCAGGAGGACGUUAAUUUCAAUGGGUUCGAAACUUUGUCAUAACUAAUCUGCAGACUUGCAUUCGAACUGAACGCUGACACCGAUACCAGUGUUGCACUGCAAACUACAGGUGUCAUUUUCAUUGAGAUUUCAGUGUAUUCUUCAGUUUGUAAUGUAUCAGAGAUGCAAAUGUAACAAAUAAAUAUUUAAGCCCAUUAAAACUAUUAAAGUUAAAGAGAAGAA
Molecule: long non-coding RNA, 951 nt
Organism: Zootermopsis nevadensis
Lineage: Eukaryota; Metazoa; Arthropoda; Insecta; Blattodea; Termopsidae
Source: RefSeq, a predicted model, not a curated record